RNAcentral lists this ribosomal RNA (746 nucleotides) under Bacillus cereus. RNAcentral's name for it is "bacterial SSU rRNA". It matches the Rfam family "Bacterial small subunit ribosomal RNA", at positions 55 to 781 of the family's 1533-position model. Lineage: Bacteria; Bacillati; Bacillota; Bacilli; Caryophanales; Bacillaceae. The record is from RNAcentral.
AUGCAAGUCGAGCGAAUGGAUUAAGAGCUUGCUCUUAUGAAGUUAGCGGCGGACGGGUGAGUAACACGUGGGUAACCUGCCCAUAAGACUGGGAUAACUCCGGGAAACCGGGGCUAAUACCGGAUAACAUUUUGAACCGCAUGGUUCGAAAUUGAAAGGCGGCUUCGGCUGUCACUUAUGGAUGGACCCGCGUCGCAUUAGCUAGUUGGUGAGGUAACGGCUCACCAAGGCAACGAUGCGUAGCCGACCUGAGAGGGUGAUCGGCCACACUGGGACUGAGACACGGCCCAGACUCCUACGGGAGGCAGCAGUAGGGAAUCUUCCGCAAUGGACGAAAGUCUGACGGAGCAACGCCGCGUGAGUGAUGAAGGCUUUCGGGUCGUAAAACUCUGUUGUUAGGGAAGAACAAGUGCUAGUUGAAUAAGCUGGCACCUUGACGGUACCUAACCAGAAAGCCACGGCUAACUACGUGCCAGCAGCCGCGGUAAUACGUAGGUGGCAAGCGUUAUCCGGAAUUAUUGGGCGUAAAGCGCGCGCAGGUGGUUUCUUAAGUCUGAUGUGAAAGCCCACGGCUCAACCGUGGAGGGUCAUUGGAAACUGGGAGACUUGAGUGCAGAAGAGGAAAGUGGAAUUCCAUGUGUAGCGGUGAAAUGCGUAGAGAUAUGGAGGAACACCAGUGGCGAAGGCGACUUUCUGGUCUGUAACUGACACUGAGGCGCGAAAGCGUGGGGAGCAAACAGGAUUAG